CUCUUCUUGAAUUAUUUUUGAAGUAUAACCUGCCCACUGAUAACAUUAUUUAAAGGGCCGCGGUAUUUUGACCGUGCAAAGGUAGCAUAAUCAUUAGUCUUUUAAUUGAAGACUGGAAUGAAUGGUUGGACGAGAAAUAAACUGUUUCUUUAAUAUUUAUUGAACUUAAAUUUUAAGUUAAAAUGCUUAACUUUUUUUAUGGGACGAGAAGACCCUAUAGAGUUUUAUAAAUUUUAUUUUUGUUUUUGUUUGUAGAUUUUUUGUUAUUUAAAUUUUUAUUUUGUUGGGGUGAUUGGAAGAAUUAAUAAACUCUUUUUUUUAUUUAUAUAUUUAUUUAUAAUUUUUUGAUCCAAUUUUGUUGAUUAUAAGACUAAAUUACCUUAGGGAUAACAGCGUAAUCUUUUUUGAGAGUUCUUAUCGAUAAAUGGGUUUGCGA
Molecule: ribosomal RNA, 436 nt
Filed under: Methana marginalis
Lineage: Eukaryota; Metazoa; Arthropoda; Insecta; Blattodea; Blattidae
Description: partial large subunit ribosomal RNA
Source: RNAcentral